Long non-coding RNA from Hipposideros armiger (great roundleaf bat), 607 nucleotides. RefSeq lists it as uncharacterized. Lineage: Eukaryota; Metazoa; Chordata; Mammalia; Chiroptera; Hipposideridae. The record is from RefSeq and is a predicted model, not a curated record. The transcript is spliced from 3 exons.
CUUGGCAGCUCUCGGCUCAGCGGCUGGCACUUGCAUAUACCCACAUGCUGAUAGAGCCAAACCACAAGGUGAACUCUUGGCCCCACCAUGCUGACUUUGGUCCUUCCUCUGACCCUUUGGACAUGGCACUGGCACUUGAUCUUCCUGGGCUUUCUACUCUUUCUCCGAGAGUUCUUUCUCCCUUUGCUGCCUCAGACGAAGCACCCCCUCCUUCCUGCUCUGGGGACUCAGAGUAGUGGCGAUGCCUCCUGCUUCCUGCUGCCUUCUCGUUACUGCCUCUGAGCAGGGCUGGCUGGGCAGGUCCCCAGGCCUGGCCCCUAUUCAUUUGGAUGCUCUUGUUACCACCUGCUUAUCUACCCUCCACAAUUGCAGCACUUUGGCUCAGGUUGAUAGUGUUGCUUCUGACCACCUGCUUAAGGCAAAAUACACCUACAGAUCAGAGCAGAUGCGACUAAAAUAGUGCUGUCUCCCAGCUGGCACUGUAACUGAGGAGUUCGUCUCAGUGGCAGCGUUGCCUUCAUCCACACCUGGCCUACACAUGAGAGCGACUGCAGAGCUUUACAAGGAGCUGAGCCAUCCUGCUACCUGUUGGCAGCUCAGCGGCUGC